Molecule: long non-coding RNA, 1114 nt
Filed under: Homo sapiens (human)
Lineage: Eukaryota; Metazoa; Chordata; Mammalia; Primates; Hominidae
Description: HSALNT0342603
Source: RNAcentral
AGAGGAGAGGAGGAGCAGGAGCAGGAGCAGGGGCAGUGGAAGACGGUGCUUUCACACUGGAGUUAACCCAGCAGCCCCAAAGGAUGAAGCAUUGUGAACUGGGAAAAGGGAGGCAGCGUAAUGGUAAACUGAGGCAUUCUAGAAUGCUGGCAGCAUUUGCUCUUACAGGCGAUGUGUUAACUAAGGUCACUAGAGGUGAAUCAAUAUUUGUUCUUUUUAAUACAUUUAUAUGUAAAAAGUGACAAGAACUGGUUGUGACCUUGUCCUGUCUCUCCAUCACUGGCACACAAGAAGGCCCACCUAUCACGAUUCCUCACCUCAAACUAUCUGGCAGUUGCUGCUGGAACUGUAGGCAUUACACUGCUGAGUGAAAAAUAAUUUUCUAAAGGAGUUGUCUUUUGUCCUAUAGAAGGACAACAAAUGCUACAACUUGAUUUUGAGGGUGAAUCUAACUUUGGAUAAAGUCACUUUUUCCUUUCCUAAACAUUUCUAACAAUUUUAACAACAGGUCAUUUUUAUACAUAGUAGAUUCUUCAUAAAUAAUCCAGAACCAGUAACCACAUGCAGCCUGCAGGGGUCCAGAAUCACUGAUUGGAUAUACCAAGUGUUGACCGAAGCUGCCCUUUCUGAGACAGCCUGUCCUCCUUGGCCUGUGGACCUUUGUGACCCUGCAGUGGGGGUAUAGUGAGGCCUUUCUUCUGGAGACGGAACGACAAGCUUCUAAUCCCAGCUCUGUCACGUUCCUACUGGGCGACCUGGCAGGUACUCGACCUCUCUGACUUGAGGGGAUAUGCACAUUUCUUUAAGAAUGCAUGGAGUGAAUGAAAAUAACAUGGGGGUAUGAACCACAGAGUGAACAUGUACCACAAACAACUCUUGUUGAAAUAUACAGUCCCGGGAAAUGUCACCGUCUUCAUUUACUAAAGUGUGAUGGAGAGGGGGAUUGCUGAACAAUCCCAGGGACAGACGUCAUCAUGGAAUGUCAGAGACGCCAAGUUUUAUUGAAAUGAAAUCAUUAUCUCUACGAGUAUCGACUCUCCUAAAUUCAUUGCAGCAUUAUUCACAAUAGUCAAGACAUGAAAACAACCUAAAUAUCCAUUGACAGAUGAAUGGA